GUAGGUGAACCUGCGGGAGGAUCAUUAAAAAAUAAUCCAUAUGGAUUAUAAAUCCAUACCCACCUUUUGUGCACCGUAACUUGUCCAUUGUUUUCCCUUCCCGGAUUGUUUUUUGACACGAGUAGUCACUAUUUUGAAUAUGUGUUUGCGAACGUUAGAAAUGCUUGGAAGGGAGAGCGAUAUACCACACACUUUUUUAAUUUACCGAGUCUGAAGUAUAAACUUUUGCGAAAGCAGAAAUUAUAAAAACAACUUUCAACAACGGAUCUCUUGGCUCCC
This 279-nucleotide unclassified non-coding RNA is filed under the name rhizosphere metagenome. RNAcentral's name for it is "partial ribosomal RNA internal transcribed spacer region". The record is from RNAcentral.